This is a long non-coding RNA of Danio aesculapii, 189 nucleotides long. RefSeq lists it as uncharacterized. NCBI's taxonomy places the organism in Eukaryota, Metazoa, Chordata, Actinopteri, Cypriniformes, Danionidae. The transcript is spliced from 3 exons. The record is from RefSeq and is a predicted model, not a curated record.
GACACAUUGUGUAAGGAAGGCCAAGACCAAUCUGGAAUCAAUAAAGGCUCAUAGGAACUCCAAUCGUCCCAACUGUGAGAGGGCCUUGCUCCAGUGACUGUUGGAAGAUUUGUGGACUACAUUAACUAAUGACACUACCUCCAAAGAGUUGCAAAAAGCUGUCCAAAGUUCCAGCACCCUCUUUAAGUC